UCGGGAAUCUUGCACAAUGGGCGAAAGCCUGAUGCAGCAACGCCGUGUGAGCGAGGAAGGCCUUCGGGUCGUAAAGCUCUGUUGUUGGGGACGAAGGGUGAAGGGUUAAUAGCCCCUAGCCUGACGGUACCCUUCGAGAAAGCCCCGGCUAACUACGUGCCAGCAGCCGCGGUAAUACGUAGGGGGCGAGCGUUGUCCGGAAUUAUUGGGCGUAAAGAGCGUGUAGGCGGCCCGGUAAGUCUGCCGUGAAAACCUGGGGCACAACCCCGGGCGUGCGGUGGAUACGGCUGGGCUAGAGGAUGGUAGAGGCGAGUGGAAUUCCCGGUGUAGCGGUGAAAUGCGCAGAGAUCGGGAGGAACACCAGUAGCGAAGGCGGCUCGCGGGGCCAUUCCGGACGCUGAGACGCGAAAGCAUGGGGAGAGAACAGGAUUAGAUACCCCCGUAGUCC
RNAcentral lists this ribosomal RNA (448 nucleotides) under uncultured prokaryote. RNAcentral describes it as "bacterial SSU rRNA". It matches the Rfam family "Bacterial small subunit ribosomal RNA", at positions 355 to 796 of the family's 1533-position model. The record is from RNAcentral.